Bos taurus (domestic cattle) is the source of this 358-nucleotide long non-coding RNA. Lineage: Eukaryota; Metazoa; Chordata; Mammalia; Artiodactyla; Bovidae. The record is from Ensembl.
GCCUACCCUCACGAUGGUUCAAGAGGACUAAAGCGGCCCGCUCCAGCCAGCCCGCCUGUCACAGAUAACCAUCAUGGGGCUGGAGCCAAGGGUGCAACUGGAUGUGGCAGAAACCUUGGACCACUGGACAAAACCCCAAGAGGGCUUGUCAGAAGAUCCUCUGACCAAUCCUGAGGAAAUCUGGUACACUGAUGGAAGCAGCUUUGUCUUGGAUGGAAAAAGAAGAGCCGGGUAUGCAGUAGUCUCCAAUUUUGAGACCAUAGAGGCUAAGCCUCUGCCACCAGGUCAACAAGCUACAACAUGCAGUGCCAGUUCAACAAAGAUAUAAAACUACAGCCGACCACGGAAAAUAUCACUC